Molecule: long non-coding RNA, 881 nt
Organism: Drosophila guanche
Lineage: Eukaryota; Metazoa; Arthropoda; Insecta; Diptera; Drosophilidae
Exons: 2
Source: RefSeq, a predicted model, not a curated record
UUGGUCAGGUCGAGAAAAGAAAAACUCCAGGUAUUUUAUAAACUUUUGUUGCAUUCGAAGGAGAGCGAUAUGCAAAAUACUAGAUUUGGUAGUAUUUUUUGGGAGGUUGAUAGGUCGAUAGGCGAAGGGGCAAGGCGAUCAACGGUGCCGGUGAGAGAGCGGGAGAAUGUAAAGGAGGGGAAUAUUGCGGGAUCCACGAGCCAGCUCACCCACACCCUCAAGAAUGCCAUGCUAUGCCCUUGAAUUUGGUUCAAGGGCAGUAGAAGAGAUGAGAUCAACUGCAGCAAGGGGGACUGCGUAGAGUAGCUACGCUGAACAUGCCGGCAGUGGAAAAAUAGACAUCGGCAGUGUUAGUGCGUUUUGUGUGUGUGACCGUUUAGGAAAAAGAAAGACCGGCCAACGUAGAGGACCCUUUUACCCGAAUCGAAAGAAAAAGGCAUAAAUUGUAUCGGCUGGCUUCUCGUAGAUGGGCCAAAAUUACCAUUCCCCGGCCCGCGGAAUCCUGGUCACACCCCUGCUCGGGCGCGACCCGCCACAGCCCACCGACAAUUAAUAUAAUUAAUCUAUGCAUACAUAAACGCAUACCUAUUUACAUGCGUAUAUAAAAACACAAAAAAAUAAUAUCUGUCUAUAUUAAUUAAGAUUUAAUUAAUUUGCCACCCCAUAUAUAUUUACCGACCAUAUUAAUGUAAUAUAAAUGUAGUAUUUGUAUUUAUAUUUAUUUUAUUAUUUAUAUUUAUUAAUUUUUUUGAUUAUUCCCACCCAUUAAUUUAAGUUGAAGAGUCGGGAAUAGGCGGACGCGCCACGAGACAUUAGUAUAGGGAUUUUUAGUUAAGUAUGUGUUAAGUUUUUGGUUUAAAUAUUAUAACGUUUAAAAUGAA